CUCAGAGACAGACUCAGUCACUCUGCACUGUCAGACUCCAUCAUCUGUUCCUGUGUCUCAGUGUUAUUUCAAAACUAUGAGAACAAAACGGGGCAAAGUCUUCCCCUGUCUGAAGACACUGACAGGAACUGAGCUGCUGGAGAUGUCACAUCAGAGUUCACCUGCUGAGGUUAAAGUGACAUGUUUUUAUCUUCACGCGACUCAAUCUCCAGAGAGUAACAUAUCCUCCAUCAUCAUUCGAACAUCUCUUCCACCUACACUGACAGUGAAUCCACCGGUGAUCUCAGAGACAGACUCAGUCACUCUGCACUGUCAGACUCCAUCAUCUGUUCCUGUGUCUCAGUGUCAUUUCUACACUUUAAGUGGAGAAACUGUCAAAGACGUCUCUUGUCUGAAGACACUGACAGGAACUGAGCUGCUGGAGAUGUCACAUCAGAGUUCACCUGCUGAGGUUGAGAUGACAUGUUUUUACACUGUAAAGCUUGGAGAGUCACAUUACCUAUCUCCACACAGUGACACAUCCUCCGUCACCAUACACAGUGACACAUCCUCCGUCACCAUACACAGUGACACAUCCUCUGUCACCAUACACAGUGAUACAUCCUCCGUCACCAUACACAGUGACACAUCCUCCGUCACCAUACACAGUGACACAUCCUCCGUCACCAUACACAGUUUGAGUGUUAGUACACCUGGCACUAAAGAUAGCUCCUACCCUGCAACAUCUCAGAAAACAGCUUCAGCAACGUGGAUAUUGAACUUUAUUGUAGUUGUAGCUGGUUGCGGUGUAACUGUGGCCGUCAUCUUGCUCGUUUCUGCAAUUCUCUGGAACAAAAAAAGAACUGCAGGUGAAAGGCGGGAGCCUCAAAAUGAGAAUUUGGACGCAUACCCUUUGUACUGCAGCAUCUCUGAGGAGCCAGCUGCAUCAGAGCUGAAGGGUGUGAUGUACAGCACCGUGCAGACACACUGAAACUGAGCAGACAGCCUGAAGAACUGUUACUGAAAUGCACCUUGUGUUUGAAGUUGAGUGGUUUAAUCUAGUUUUAGUUUUACAGUUUUAGAAGUUUUACAGCCAGAUGCAAUUAUCAAGUUGAGGUUUAUGACUUAAAAUGUAUUUAGUUUUACUUUAUAACUAAAACAAAGUUCACUUUACUCCUGUUGUUUGAUGUUGAUCAUAUUUUCUAUGCACUAUACAUAUAUUUACAUGCAUUUUACUGCUACUGUAAAUAUGCUGUAUGUUUUAGCCCCCCCCCA
Long non-coding RNA from Cottoperca gobio, 1254 nucleotides. NCBI's taxonomy places the organism in Eukaryota, Metazoa, Chordata, Actinopteri, Perciformes, Bovichtidae. The record is from Ensembl.